Molecule: ribosomal RNA, 1508 nt
Filed under: Salmonella enterica subsp. enterica serovar Enteritidis
Lineage: Bacteria; Pseudomonadati; Pseudomonadota; Gammaproteobacteria; Enterobacterales; Enterobacteriaceae
Description: bacterial SSU rRNA
Rfam family: Bacterial small subunit ribosomal RNA
Source: RNAcentral
GGCCUAACACAUGCAAGUCGAACGGUAACAGGAAGCAGCUUGCUGCUUUGCUGACGAGUGGCGGACGGGUGAGUAAUGUCUGGGAAACUGCCUGAUGGAGGGGGAUAACUACUGGAAACGGUGGCUAAUACCGCAUAACGUCGCAAGACCAAAGAGGGGGACCUUCGGGCCUCUUGCCAUCAGAUGUGCCCAGAUGGGAUUAGCUUGUUGGUGAGGUAACGGCUCACCAAGGCGACGAUCCCUAGCUGGUCUGAGAGGAUGACCAGCCACACUGGAACUGAGACACGGUCCAGACUCCUACGGGAGGCAGCAGUGGGGAAUAUUGCACAAUGGGCGCAAGCCUGAUGCAGCCAUGCCGCGUGUAUGAAGAAGGCCUUCGGGUUGUAAAGUACUUUCAGCGGGGAGGAAGGUGUUGUGGUUAAUAACCGCAGCAAUUGACGUUACCCGCAGAAGAAGCACCGGCUAACUCCGUGCCAGCAGCCGCGGUAAUACGGAGGGUGCAAGCGUUAAUCGGAAUUACUGGGCGUAAAGCGCACGCAGGCGGUCUGUCAAGUCGGAUGUGAAAUCCCCGGGCUCAACCUGGGAACUGCAUUCGAAACUGGCAGGCUUGAGUCUUGUAGAGGGGGGUAGAAUUCCAGGUGUAGCGGUGAAAUGCGUAGAGAUCUGGAGGAAUACCGGUGGCGAAGGCGGCCCCCUGGACAAAGACUGACGCUCAGGUGCGAAAGCGUGGGGAGCAAACAGGAUUAGAUACCCUGGUAGUCCACGCCGUAAACGAUGUCUACUUGGAGGUUGUGCCCUUGAGGCGUGGCUUCCGGAGCUAACGCGUUAAGUAGACCGCCUGGGGAGUACGGCCGCAAGGUUAAAACUCAAAUGAAUUGACGGGGGCCCGCACAAGCGGUGGAGCAUGUGGUUUAAUUCGAUGCAACGCGAAGAACCUUACCUGGUCUUGACAUCCACAGAAGAAUCCAGAGAUGGAUUUGUGCCUUCGGGAACUGUGAGACAGGUGCUGCAUGGCUGUCGUCAGCUCGUGUUGUGAAAUGUUGGGUUAAGUCCCGCAACGAGCGCAACCCUUAUCCUUUGUUGCCAGCGGUUAGGCCGGGAACUCAAAGGAGACUGCCAGUGAUAAACUGGAGGAAGGUGGGGAUGACGUCAAGUCAUCAUGGCCCUUACGACCAGGGCUACACACGUGCUACAAUGGCGCAUACAAAGAGAAGCGACCUCGCGAGAGCAAGCGGACCUCAUAAAGUGCGUCGUAGUCCGGAUUGGAGUCUGCAACUCGACUCCAUGAAGUCGGAAUCGCUAGUAAUCGUGGAUCAGAAUGCCACGGUGAAUACGUUCCCGGGCCUUGUACACACCGCCCGUCACACCAUGGGAGUGGGUUGCAAAAGAAGUAGGUAGCUUAACCUUCGGGAGGGCGCUUACCACUUUGUGAUUCAUGACUGGGGUGAAGUCGUAACAAGGUAACCGUAGGGGAACCUGCGGUUGGAUCACCUCCUUACCUUAAAGAA